CCUACGGGUGGCUGCAGUGGGGAAUAUUGGACAAUGGGGGGAACCCUGAUCCAGCCAUGCCGCGUGUGUGAAGAAGGCCCUCGGGUUGUAAAGCACUUUCAGUGAGGAAGAACGCCUGGUGGUUAAUACCCAUCAGGAAAGACAUCACUCACAGAAGAAGCACCGGCUAACUCCGUGCCAGCAGCCGCGGUAAUACGGAGGGUGCGAGCGUUAAUCGGAAUUACUGGGCGUAAAGCGCGCGUAGGUGGCUUGAUAAGCCGGUUGUGAAAGCCCCGGGCUCAACCUGGGAACGGCAUCCGGAACUGUCAAGCUAGAGUGCAGGAGAGGAGGGUAGAAUUCCCGGUGUAGCGGUGAAAUGCGUAGAGAUCGGGAGGAAUACCAGUGGCGAAGGCGGCCUUCUGGACUGACACUGACACUGAGGUGCGAAAGCGUGGGUAGCAAACAGGAUUAGAUACCCUUGUAGUC
Molecule: ribosomal RNA, 465 nt
Filed under: Vreelandella stevensii
Lineage: Bacteria; Pseudomonadati; Pseudomonadota; Gammaproteobacteria; Oceanospirillales; Halomonadaceae
Description: partial 16S ribosomal RNA
Rfam family: Bacterial small subunit ribosomal RNA
Source: RNAcentral